This 440-nucleotide ribosomal RNA is filed under the name uncultured bacterium. RNAcentral describes it as "partial 16S ribosomal RNA". It matches the Rfam family "Bacterial small subunit ribosomal RNA", at positions 338 to 795 of the family's 1533-position model. The record is from RNAcentral.
CCUACGGGAGGCAGCAGUGAGGAAUAUUGGUCAAUGGGGGGAACCCUGAACCAGCAACGCCGCGUGAGGGAGGACGGUUUUCGGAUUGUAAACCUCUGUCCUCUGUGGAGCUAAUGACGGUAGCAGAGGAGGAAGCUCCGGCUAACUACGUGCCGGCAGCCGCGGUAAUGCGUAGGGAGCCAGCGUUGUCCGGAUUUACUGGGUGUAAAGGGUGCGUAGGCGGCUUUGCAAGUCAGAAGUGAAAUCCAUGGGCUUAACCCAUGAACUGCGUUUGAAACUGCAGAGCUUGAGUGGAGUAGAGGUAGGCGGAAUUCCCGGUGUAGCGGUGAAAUGCGUAGAGAUCGGGAGGAACACCAGUGGCGAAGGCGGCCUGCCGGGCCCUAACUGACGCUGAGGCACGAAAGCGUGGGUAGCAAACAGGAUUAGAUACCCGAGUAGUC